CCCUGGCAGUGCAGGCAACAAAUAAGACAUGUCUGAUUCAUCAAGCGGACAUCGCUAUAAAGACCACUCUUUCUCCUUUGUCCCAUUUCUCUCUCCCUCUCUCUCUCUCUUGCUCUCUCUCUCUCUCACCCCUGGGCCACUUCACCCUUUUUUACUCCGUCCACCUUCCUCUGGCUAAAAUGUCUUAGCCUGAAUUAGUGGAAGGAGCUUUAUCCUUAUACAUAUACCUGUGGAAUUGCAGCAUAGCUAUUUCUUUAAGAUAAUGUCAGUUUCUAAAAUGCACCAUCUGCUGUUCAGUGCAUGCUGGGAAAGGCUCGUUCCAGACAGGAGAUGUUAAGGCCUGUUGCAGAUCGACCAUAAAUCCCAAACUUAGUCGUCCUUUUUGUCGCAAAGGGAUGUUGCUGUCUGGCCGAAGAUGGAACGUGGAUGAAGGCUGGACAGAGACCUCUAUGACAGCCCCUCUGAGGACUGAAUGGACAGCGGCGUCUGAUGAAUGGCCAGCCUCCCUCUUAAUCACAAAGCACUCGCACCAAGUGAGACACAGCAACAAAGGCAUCUAUGAGGUUCUUAAAAUACCUUCGCUGACAAACUAACUUUUGGUGGUUUAUCGCUGUUUCUCUUUUGCAACUGGUCAUGUCAACAAUUUUUUUUCUUUUUUUUUAUUGUAUAUUUGUAUGUCAUUGUAUUUUAUAUUAAAUGCAAGAAAAGUUAGAUUGAUAGUGCCUUCCGCUAAAGUCUUCUUUUACACGGAUUCUAAUACUUUGUACUUUGUACUGUUCAAAUGAUAUAUAGGUAUUUCAUAGAUUACAUUGUAACAGUACAGACAUAUAUGGUGUACAUGUCUUUCUUUCUAAGGGACUUGUUAUUCUCUAUUUUCACGUUUCCCCUUUCUCUUUCACAUGCCCUGAUUCUCUUGAAUUGUAGAGAAAGAAGUCAAAUUUGUCCAAGGGGGCAUAAAAAAGUAUUUUGUCUUUGUUGUAAAGGGUUUUGGCUGAAGACGAUCCCAUGCGUCAGAGGACCAGGUGUGUAUUAUUUCACAGCUGAAAAACAUUCCCUGCUUAAGAUUUUUUCAAAAUAAAACGUGAUGUUUUAUCAUUCACUGGGAAGGAGUGAACCCAAGGAUGAUCAUUGAAUCAUUUCGAUCUCUUUACAACUGGGCAAGAUUGGUUUACAUAAAGGCCAGAAAGACUUACAGCAUUCUUCCCUACAAAACGGGAGUGUCUGAGUUUGGCCUACACACAUGACAUUUAACUGUAUGCUGAAAAUGUUUUAUUUCCUCUCCCAAGGUUGCAAUGUGUGUUCACAAAAAGCUUUUGUGUACUUGAUGUGAAAAUCAUAUUUCAUCCUGAGUCCCAUUUAGGAAUAGCUAAAUGUACUGUAGGUCCUAAUAGUCAGGGAAAAGGCUUGUGUCAGUGGAAAAAGGUGACCCUAAAUACAUCCUUCACUGUUUGCACAUUGAUGAGUGGCAAGCAAAAUUGUCCUUCAGAGCCUGUUAUUAUUUGAGCAAGCUAUUGCAAUGCACGGCGCACAGUGAGCCUGGAGCAUAGGUUGCAUUUUGCUGUACACUCCACUGCAAAAUGGGACUAGUCAAGCCCUAAUGUAACCAGCAAAAGCUGGAUAAAAAUCUAUACAAACUCAAUUAUGAAUCAAUUUGAGUUUGUGUCAGACAGUCUGGUGCCAACAGAGUGGAUUUUUUAUUAACUUAUGGUCUGGGAAGAAUGAAACACUUUUCAUUUGUGUACUUCAGUAUGUUGCUUCAUGAUUCAGAGGAAGGGUGUUCACACUUUGUUUUUGAGGGAUUUAUCUCUCAUGGUGGACCGGCUGGAGGCAAACAGCAUUUGUGUCCUGAUUAUGGAGUCAUGAUAGUUAAAUCCUUACGAUGUGAGAAGAUAGAGAACCCCUUUUGAAAAGCAGAAGGUAGCUCAACAGUUGAUUAAGUAAUUAAGAUUAAAUCCCUCCCACAUUGAUUCGUCUUUCCACGCUGCUGUAUUACAUUUGAGUACAGAUUUUUUUUUUUUUUUACCGUGCACCCCACUGUCCUGCUCCAGCGUAUCAAACUAGGUCACAGGCUUGAAUAUUCAUGAUCCUCUAUGACAACUCCCUGCUAUUCCGUGUCAAGACCUAUGUUAAUUCUGAGAUUUGCACAUUUGAGCCUGCUUGAAACUCUUUAGCUUCACUACUUCAGAUCCUGAGAACCAGGUUGACAACCUUAGCAGAAAAGGAAACAUUGUGCUGUACGAGACUCGGAAGAAAUGUGCCAAAUAUCCAAAAGUUUGGUGUACAUUUAAAGCAAGUAGGUUCUCUGCUUGACAAAUGGCUGCCAUUUUGAAGGGUCACUCAGGAAACAUCUGUGAUAGCUUGAGAUGUUAUUGAUUUCAACGAGAUAGCCAUGUGGCCAAUGGGAUUUUCUAGAGGAUGCUGUUGUUCUGCACGCACGUAAUGGUCAGUUAGACCCACAGCUAUUCAACAUUACAAUACACCUGUCAAUCAUUGUCCGUCGCGUAGUUAUCAUCUGCCAGUUGCCAUUUCUGUUCUAUUGUUGUGUGUGUGUGUGUGUGUGUGUGUGUGUGCGUGCGUGCAUCCACACAAACACUCAAGGGUUCCAUUAAAAGUUGCCCUACAGUAGUUGGUCCUUUUUUGUGCCUAACUCCCACACCUGACACUUGCCUGGAAUACAUGCUCUGUCCCUUAAGGUCAAUAAAGCACUACAGAAUU
This is a long non-coding RNA of Gasterosteus aculeatus aculeatus (three-spined stickleback), 2715 nucleotides long. The record is from Ensembl. NCBI's taxonomy places the organism in Eukaryota, Metazoa, Chordata, Actinopteri, Perciformes, Gasterosteidae.